CCGCAGCCCGACUUGAGUGGAGCUCUUUUUUGUCAUUGCGAUUACUGAAUCGUUCAACUGAUUGCUUCACUUUGUUCGCAAUGACAAAAAAAGCGGGAACGGAAGGCGGAUAAAGC
Molecule: unclassified non-coding RNA, 116 nt
Filed under: Chryseobacterium formosense
Lineage: Bacteria; Pseudomonadati; Bacteroidota; Flavobacteriia; Flavobacteriales; Weeksellaceae
Description: Flavo-1 RNA
Source: RNAcentral